UGUUGAUUUAUUGUGUCUAAAUUCAGGAGACCAAUGGAAGAAAGUUCUUCUUUAAGCUGCUCUACGUCAAGGCUUUUCAAUGCCAAAUAAUGAAUUAGGUUUGUCGCAUUGACCAAGUAAUUUCUGUCAUUCAUGGAAUCUCAAGUUAGUUGCAGGAAUCUAUGAUCAGGCAGGGAAAAUCGCAGUAGAGUUGCUGGUGGAAAAGCUGAUAAAGAGCAGGUAUUAAGUGUAACCAAUCUCAAUCACUUUUAUGCAUAAUGAUUCAGAGGCUUUUCAUUGCCAAAUAAUGAAUUAGGUUUGUCGCACUGACCAAGUAAUUUCUGCCAUUCAUGGAAUCUCAAGUUAGUUGCAGGAAUAUAUGAUCAGGCAGGGAAAAUCGCAGUAGAGUUGCUGGUGGAAAAGCUGAUAAAGAGAAGGUAUUCAGUGUAACCACUCUCAAUCACUUUUAUGCGUAAUGAUUCAAGUUUAUUUUAGAACACUCAAAAUACAGCAAAUGAAAAUACUUAAGUAAACCAAAAAACUGCAUCAAUAAAAAGGAAGAACACAUAAUG
This 551-nucleotide long non-coding RNA is filed under the name Nicotiana benthamiana. RNAcentral describes it as "long non-coding RNA (NBEN_LNC013239)". The record is from RNAcentral. Lineage: Eukaryota; Viridiplantae; Streptophyta; Magnoliopsida; Solanales; Solanaceae.